Molecule: ribosomal RNA, 427 nt
Filed under: uncultured bacterium
Lineage: Bacteria
Description: partial 16S ribosomal RNA
Rfam family: Bacterial small subunit ribosomal RNA
Source: RNAcentral
GUGGGGAAUAUUGGGCAAUGGGCGAAAGCCUGACCCAGCAACGCCGCGUGAAGGAAGAAGGUUUUCGGAUUGUAAACUUCUGUCCUCAGGGAAGAAGAAAGUGACGGUACCUGAGGAGGAAGCCCCGGCUAACUACGUGCCAGCAGCCGCGGUAAUACGUAGGGGGCGAGCGUUGUCCGGAAUGACUGGGCGUAAAGGGCGCGUAGACGGCUGUCUAAGUCUGGAGUGAAAGUACUGCUUUCAAGGUGGGAAUUGCUUUGGAGACUGGAUGGCUUGAGUGAGGAAGAGGUAAGUGGAAUUCCCAGUGUAGCGGUGAAAUGCGUAGAGAUUGGGAGGAACACCAGUGGCGAAGGCGACUUACUGGGCCGUAACUGACGUUGAUGCGCGAAAGCGUGGGGAGCGAACAGGAUUAGAAACCCGGUAGUCC